AUUAGCUCAAAUGGUAGAGCGCUCGCUUAGCAUGCGAGAGGUAGCGGGAUCGAUGCCCGCAUUCUCCAGUUUUAUGUGGUUUCCUCUCCCACCUUACCCUUUGGCCUUUACUCCUAUCUUUCCAUGAAUAUCUUGCUGACACAUAAGCAGCUAACAACACACUCCCGUAUCAUAAUGGGGGUGGUCUUUCCUUCAAGCUCAAGAUUCUCUCACCACCCAUGAAAAC
RNAcentral lists this long non-coding RNA (226 nucleotides) under Homo sapiens (human). RNAcentral's name for it is "HSALNT0102935". The stretch from base 1 to 68 matches the Rfam family "tRNA". The record is from RNAcentral. Lineage: Eukaryota; Metazoa; Chordata; Mammalia; Primates; Hominidae.